RNAcentral lists this transfer RNA (86 nucleotides) under Macroventuria anomochaeta. RNAcentral's name for it is "tRNA-Cys". It matches the Rfam family "tRNA". Rfam says of the family: Transfer RNA (tRNA) molecules are approximately 80 nucleotides in length. Their secondary structure includes four short double-helical elements and three loops (D, anti-codon, and T loops). Lineage: Eukaryota; Fungi; Ascomycota; Dothideomycetes; Pleosporales; Didymellaceae. The record is from RNAcentral.
GGGUCGGUAACUCAGUGGUAGAGUGUAGGAUUGCAGCUCUCUAGCAGUAAAUCCCGAAGUCACCGGUUCGACUCCGGUUCGGCCCU